GGGGAAAUAGUUUUACUUUGUGUAAUGACUCAUCCAUUCCAAUUUGUUAGUCUCUAAGGUGCCACCGGUACUCCUUUUCUUUUUGCGAAUACAGACUAACACGGCUGCUACUCUGAAAUGCAUGUGCUAGUGAGUAGACGACAAAACUUCUCAAGCAUUGGCCUGUAGCAGUGGUUAUAGUUCUGGAUUCUGCAGGGCAGUUAAAUUCAGAACAUGAAGUUGCGGAUAACGGAUAGCAAGCUGUAAUAAGGGAAUUACUGAACUUUAGAGACAGUGAUUCAUGACUGGGCAGUUUUUUUGUUUGGUUGGUUUUUUGGGCAGAUAAUUGCAUGCAAAAAUCUAGAUUCUUAAAGCUCGUUUUGAAAGCGGUAUUUUAAUACUCCUAUUGAAUUGGUCAAAUCAAAGGUGCAUAAUGAUGAAAUAAAACCGAAAAAGCUGGAAUUACCGACAGAUUGUUGGUGGGCAAAAUGGUGUCUUGAAGUAUAAGAAUCUGUAGACUUUGAUAUUUCAGAGGAGUGAGAUGCCUACAGGAGAGGUGGAAAGCAGCUCCCUUGACCUGUGGUGGGCCUUGGACCAGGCCUAAUCUGGGUGGAAAGGAGAACUUGGGUCAUGGCUUGGUGGAAAACUGGAGCCUUCCAUUCUUCAGACCCUCUUAAUACACAGAUUCAAGGUCAAGAGCUGAAAUUGGAUAUUGCAUAAUUAUGUGUCCGUAUCGCAGACUAACAGGCUUGCAAUAGAAGAACAUCCAAAUGAGCCUGAGAAUUAGUAACUGGUUUUUGGUGGCUGCUUUUUUUUUUUUUUUUGAGCACUACCAAAUGUGUCUGCUCACUCUUUUUUAUAAGUAAGAGAUGCAUACUGUUAAGUGCACAAAUUAAAAUGUUCAAAUCAUUGUA
Dermochelys coriacea (leatherback sea turtle) is the source of this 893-nucleotide long non-coding RNA. RefSeq lists it as uncharacterized. The record is from RefSeq and is a predicted model, not a curated record. NCBI's taxonomy places the organism in Eukaryota, Metazoa, Chordata, Testudines, Dermochelyidae. The transcript is spliced from 4 exons.